AAGUCGUAACAAGGUUUCCGUAGGUGAACCUGCGGAAGGAUCAUUAACACGAUACAAAUGUAUCAACCAAACGCGCUCUUACCUUAAAGGUAUAAUUGUGGAAAUUCAGUAAAGCUUGAUGUGGUGAGGAUGAAGACAUCAAGUGAUUGGUCAAAAUGUAAGUUUUGAUCUGAGUUUUCAUAGUUACAUCUUUAAGGCUUUUUUUUUUAAAAAUCCCUUUAUCCUCAAAUAUUAACCAUAUUAACCCCAAUUAACAACAAACUUGACUGACAUUUCUAACUCGAAAGGGUUAAGAAAUUAUAAAACGCUGUACAACUCUUAGCAAUGGAUAUCUUGGUUCUC
This 342-nucleotide unclassified non-coding RNA is filed under the name fungal sp. RNAcentral describes it as "partial internal transcribed spacer region". The stretch from base 1 to 46 matches the Rfam family "Eukaryotic small subunit ribosomal RNA", at positions 1786 to 1831 of the family's 1831-position model. The record is from RNAcentral. Lineage: Eukaryota; Fungi.